GCAACUAAAAAUAAUCACAAUAAUUUGCACUUAUGAGUUAAUGUGAUAAUCAUGUAUAAAAACUCUUUUCAACUGUUAUUUUUCACAAAAUAAUUUUGCGGAUCAGAUUGCUCUGGGCGCUUGUGUGGUUACCAAGAAAAUGCAGCCCUGUUGGUUUUUAUUUCUGUAUCGCAUCGCGGUGAGUUUCUAUUUCUUGGUAAUUCGGUUUGUGAAAUGACUAUUAAUUACAAGCACAGCAUCAUCAUGGUGACUGCAAGAACUACUGCAAUCCCUGCGGUUUUUCCUCUUGGUAAAUGCGUUCAGGUCGUGAUCAAGGGUGGUCUCCCAAAUCGGCCGGGAAUAAGGCUAUUGUUGCAGAACAAAACGGCGCAACCACUGCUGUGGUAAAUAUGUUCCAGCAGAGCUGCCCACCUCCGUCGGUGUAAUGAUUUCGAUAGCUGAACAAACGCCAUCUUCUGGGCAUUCCCACAGCUUGCCGACACUAGCUAUUACAUCACGUGUGAAUGCAACUGCAACUGGCACAUAGAGGUUGUAAAGUUUUUGGUAUCGAUGAACUUACUCGAAGAAGACGAUGGCCGAAAGCAUAUUAUGAAACAUCUUCUGGCAUGCCUUUGACAAUCGUUAAGUCAGACGGAGGCUUCACAUACGAUCUUUCACACAUGGCUGGAAUUCGUUAGCGGACAGAGCACACAUUUACAAAAUAUUUAUCGUUCUGCAGAACGUG
Rhagoletis pomonella (apple maggot) is the source of this 724-nucleotide long non-coding RNA. RefSeq lists it as uncharacterized. The transcript has 3 exons. NCBI's taxonomy places the organism in Eukaryota, Metazoa, Arthropoda, Insecta, Diptera, Tephritidae. The record is from RefSeq and is a predicted model, not a curated record.